Non-coding RNA from Ahaetulla prasina, 591 nucleotides. Lineage: Eukaryota; Metazoa; Chordata; Lepidosauria; Squamata; Colubridae. The record is from the annotation of a RefSeq genome assembly.
AUGGACUGGAUCCAUCAAUGUGCAGGAGAGGGACUGGAAUGGGUCGGACGUGUUGCAAAGGGCGGAAACAUCUAUUAUAAUAGUAUUUUCCAAAAUCGAUUAACUCUCAGCAAAGUCACCUCCAAAAAUCAGUUUUACCUCCAACUUAAUAGUCUAAAACCAGAAGACACCGCCUUUUAUUCCUGCACAGAAGACACACAAUGCACCACUGGGGCCCUUUCUCAGACUCUCACCCAGUCAAGUCCAGUAAUCAAGAAUCAAGGAGACUCGCUCCAACUCAAAUGCUCCAUAACAGGGUUUGAUAUUUACAAUCAUUAUAUGGAUUGGUUGGUGAAGAAGCCCGGGGACCCACUGAAGUGGCUGGUACAUUAUCGUAUCCCCAAGUACAGCGCUUAUUCUCCCACAAUACAAGGAAGAUUUACAGCCUCCAAAGACAAUUCCAACUUCUACCUCCAAAUGAAUGACUUGAAAGUGGAAGACACAGCUGUGUAUUAUUGUACUAGUGCAAUAACCCACACAAUGAUGGAAAAGAAUCAUGACAAGAGGGGAAAAAAAACCUUGUUUGUUUAUUCAUGCCUGACACAUUUUUGA